Molecule: ribosomal RNA, 639 nt
Filed under: uncultured archaeon
Lineage: Archaea
Description: bacterial SSU rRNA
Rfam family: Archaeal small subunit ribosomal RNA
Source: RNAcentral
AAUGAUUUAUCGCCGUAGGAUGGGACUGCGGCCUAUCAGUUUGUUGGUGAGGUAAUGGCCCACCAAGACUAUUACAGGUACGGGCUCUGAGAGGAGUGGCCCGGAGAUGGGUACUGAGACACGGACCCAGGCCCUAUGGGGCGCAGCAGACGAGAAAACUUUGCAAUGUGCGAAAGCACGACAAGGUUAAUCCGAGUGGUUUCUGCUAAAGGAACCUUUUGUCAGUCGUAGAAUCACUGAUGAAUAAGGGGUGGGCAAGUUCUGGUGUCAGCCGCCGCGGUAAAACCAGCACCUCAAGUGGUCAGGAUGAUUAUUGGGCCUAAAGCAUCCGUAGCCGGCUCUGUAAGUUUUCGGUUAAAUCUGUACGCUCAACGUACAGGCUGCCGGGAAUACUGCAGAGCUAGGGAGUGGGAGAGGUAGACGGUACUCGGUAGGAAGGGGUAAAAUCCUUUGAUCUAUUGAUGACCACCUGUGGCGAAGGCGGUCUACCAGAACACGUCCGACGGUGAGGGAUGAAAGCUGGGGGAGCAAACCGGAUUAGAUACCCGGGUAGUCCCAGCUGUAAACUAUGCAAACUCAGUGAUGCAUUGGCUUGUGGCCAAUGCAGUGUUGCAGGGAAGCCGUUAAGUUUGCCGCCUG